This 510-nucleotide ribosomal RNA is filed under the name uncultured bacterium. RNAcentral's name for it is "partial 16S ribosomal RNA". The record is from RNAcentral.
GGAGUUAGCCGGUGCUUCUUCUGUGAGUGAUGUCCUUCCUGCCGGUUAUUGACCCGCAGGCCUUCUUCCUCACUGAAAGUGCUUUACAACCCGAAGGCCUUCUUCACACACGCGGAAUGGCUGGAUCAGGGUUGCCCCCAUUGUCCAAUAUUCCCCACUGCUGCCUCCCGUAGGAGUCUGGGCCGUGUCUCAGUCCCAGUGUGGCUGAUCAUCCUCUCAGACCAGCUACGGAUCGUCGCCUUGGUGAGCCGUUACCUCACCAACCAGCUAAUCCGACAUAGGCUCAUCCGAUAGCGCGAGGCCCGAAGGUCCCCCGCUUUCCCCCGGUAGGGCGUAUGCGGUAUUAGCCUGGGUUUCCCCAGGUUAUCCCCCGACUACCGGGGCAGAUUCCUAUGCAUUACUCACCCGUCCGCCGCUCGCCACCAGGGAGCAAGCUCCCCGUGCUGCCGCUCGACUUGCAUGUGUUAGGCCUGCCGCCAGCGUUCAAUCUGAGCCAGAAUCAAACUCUGA